This 655-nucleotide ribosomal RNA is filed under the name Oscillospiraceae bacterium. Its description in RNAcentral is "bacterial SSU rRNA". It matches the Rfam family "Bacterial small subunit ribosomal RNA", at positions 880 to 1533 of the family's 1533-position model. The record is from RNAcentral. Lineage: Bacteria; Bacillati; Bacillota; Clostridia; Eubacteriales; Oscillospiraceae.
GUACGGCCGCAAGGUUGAAACUCAAAGAAAUUGACGGGGACCCGCACAAGCAGCGGAGCAUGUGGUUUAAUUCGAAGAUACGCGAAGAACCUUACCAAGGCUUGACAUCGCUUGAAUAGCCGCGAAAUCGGUGAAGUAGAAGCAAUUUUACAAGCAGACAGAUGGUGCAUGGCUGUCGUCAGCUCGUGUCGUGAGAUGUUCGGUUAAGUCCGAUAACGAGCGCAACCCCUAUCGUUAGUUGCCAUCAUUAAGUUGGGAACCCUAGCGAGACUGCCGUAGGUAAUACGGAGGAAGGUGGGGAUGAGGUCAAGUCAUCAUGCCUCUUACGCCUUGGGCUACACACGUGCUACAAUGGCUACUACAAAGAGCUGCAAUAUAGUAAUAUGGAGCGAAUCUCAAAAAAGUAGUCUCAAUUCGGAUUGUGGGCUGCAACCCGCCCACAUGAAAUCGGAGUUGCUAGUAAUGGCGAAUCAGCAUGUCGCGGUGAAUGCGUUCCCGGGUCUUGUACACACCGCCCGCCAAGCUAUGAGAGCUGAGGGCACCCAAAACCGCUGUGCCAACCGCAAGGGAGCAGGCGUCUAAGGUGAAAUCGGUGAUUGGAGUUAAGGCGUAACAAGGUAGCUGUAGGAGAACCUGCGGCUGGAUCACCUCCUUU